AUGGCGCUCAUGGCCUCUCUUCAGCUCGAUUCUACCGUGGCAGUGCUCUGCCUCGCCUUCGUAGCCUCUUGCAUCUUCCUCGUUGCUAGAAGCCGCAAGGCCGGCGCACGCGGAUCACCGCCACCUUCGCCUCCGGCGCUGCCCGUCAUCGGCAACCUGCACCAGCUCGGCCGGGGCCGCCACCACCGGAGGCUGCAAGCCCUCGCGCGGCGUUACGGCCCGCUCUUCCUGCUCCGCCUCGGCUCCGUGCCCACCGUCGUGGUCUCCUUGCCCUCCCUGGCCGAGGCCGUGCUCAAAACCCAGGACCACGUCUUCUGCAGCCGGCCGCAGCCGCGCACCGCCCGCGGCACGCUCUACGGCUGCCGCGACAUGGCCUUCAGCCCCUACGGCGAGCGGUGGCGCCAGCUCCGCCGCAUCGCCGUGCUGCACCUCCUCAGCGCGAAGCGGGUCGACUCCUUCCGCUCCCUCCGGCAGCAGGAGGUCAUGGGCUUCGUGGAACGUAUCCGCGCCGGCGCCCCGGAGGGAGCAGUCAACGUGACCGAGCUCGUCAUCAGCCUGACCAACACCGUCAUCUCCAAGGCGGCGUUCGGGAACAGGCUCGGCGGCGUCGACCCAGGGGUGGUCCGCCAGAUGAUGAAGGAGCUCACCGAGCUGCUCGGGACCAUCGCCGUUAGCGACGUGUUCCCGCGGCUCCGGUGGGUGGACUGGGCGACGGGGCUCGACGCGAGGAUCGGUAGGACGACGGCUGAGCUCGACAGUGUCAUCGAGAAGACGCUCGCGGAGCACGAGGGGAGCCGAGCAAACGACGGUGAGGAGGUGCAUGACCUCCUGGACGGCUUGCUCUCGAUCUUCAAGGAUGGUGAUCAGGGGUUUAGGCUGGACCGGAUUGAUGUCAAGGCGCCCAUCUUGGACAUGUUUAUAGGAGGCACGGACACGAUCUAUAAGGCGAUAGAAUGGACGAUGGCGAGCUUGUUAAAAAUCCAACAGAAAUGGAGAAGGUGCAAGCAGAGGUGA
RNAcentral lists this ribosomal RNA (1014 nucleotides) under Triticum aestivum (bread wheat). Its description in RNAcentral is "partial small subunit ribosomal RNA". Lineage: Eukaryota; Viridiplantae; Streptophyta; Magnoliopsida; Poales; Poaceae. The record is from RNAcentral.